RNAcentral lists this ribosomal RNA (473 nucleotides) under uncultured bacterium. RNAcentral's name for it is "partial 16S ribosomal RNA". It matches the Rfam family "Bacterial small subunit ribosomal RNA", at positions 28 to 506 of the family's 1533-position model. The record is from RNAcentral.
GAUGAACGCUAGCGGCAGGCCUAACACAUGCAAGUCGAGGGAGGAGCUUUCGGGCUUCGACCGGCGUACGGGUGCGUAACGCGUAUACAAUCUGCCUUUCACAUAGGGAUAGCCCGAAGAAAUUUGGAUUAAUACCUAAUGGUAUAUAGAGGUGGCAUCACCUUUAUAUUAAAGCUGAGGCGGUGAAAGAUGAGUAUGCGUUCUAUUAGCUAGUUGGAGAGGUAACGGCUCCCCAAGGCGACGAUAGAUAGGGGUUCUGAGAGGGAUAUCCCCCACACUGGUACUGAGAUACGGACCAGACUCCUACGGGAGGCAGCAGUGAGGAAUAUUGGACAAUGGUCGGAAGACUGAUCCAGCCAUGCCGCGUGCAGGAAGACGGCCUUAUGGGUUGUAAACUGCUUUUGCAGGGGAAGAAUAAGGACUACGCGUAGUUUGAUGACGGUACUCUGCGAAUAAGCAUCGGCUAACUCCGU